Molecule: unclassified non-coding RNA, 268 nt
Filed under: Hevea brasiliensis (rubber tree)
Lineage: Eukaryota; Viridiplantae; Streptophyta; Magnoliopsida; Malpighiales; Euphorbiaceae
Source: RNAcentral
AUUCAACGCCGUCAGGGCAGAUUCUGCAGACUUUUCUUCAUGAUAAGACACAAUAACUCUAGUGCCACUUUCAUCAGCGAGAUGGACUCCCUUAACUUGACCAUAUGCACCAAAUACGGCUUCAAUUGUGUCCAAAGUUAGUCCAACUGCAGGUCCACAAUUGGCCACAUAAAGAUUUGAACUUGGUUCGCUAGUCCCUACAGGACGUUUAAAUCUCGGCAAUCCCAUGUGUUUUACUAUAAUCAAUACCAGCAAAACUUCACCGCCG